GAAGUCGCUUGCACCUGCUAGCUGACGUCUGAGAGCCGGAGAAAGGCUGCCAUGCGUCUUACAACAGUUAAGGCGGUGUGAGCGGAAGAGGGGAGAGACGCCCGUCAACUGGGCGAAACCAAGAGAGGCCCACCGCACUGGUGAGGCCGCCCUGCCUCCCAGCCUGCCUGGGUUCUGAGGUCGUAGGGGAGACAGCGGCUCGCGGAGAGACGCAGAAGGGAACCAAGGCCACUGCUGAACCUGUUACUACCGUGGACCAUUGCCUUGCUCGGUGCUAGUGAUGAUUUAAGAACACCCAAGUCCUUUUGUUGCCAAGUCAUCUUAGAUGCCCGACUUCAUCUUUGAUCUCAAUUGGAAGAAAGCAAAAAGGAAUGUGUCCCACCUCUGUGCCUGCGUGUUGACUGAGGCACUGUCCUCUAAAGCCGGGAGAUGUCUACACACACGUGACUCACAAGUGGCAAAGAUGACUGGCAGGCUAUCCCAUCAGAGUGUGCUCCAUCCCUUCUGUACCACCCUGUGCUGUGCCAGCGCCCAUACAGCCGGACAGAAACGCAAAGUGCUGGGAAAGGCUCGGGCCCAAUCAGCCAGGUCAUCACGUCUAGAGCAAGGAGCGUGUGAUUGACUUAGGGCCAAACUCAAGUUCCCUGGAUGCCAGAAAAUCCUUAUCUCCAAGAAGUGAGGCUUUCCCAAUUUAACUGUCAGUUUGAGGUUAUGGCAGCUGAGUAAACACACCGUUGGCUGUAGAGUCAAAAAUCAACCCAAAUGUGGUCUCUUGUGUAAGACCUGGGACCUGCUUCGUGGGGGAACCCAUGCAUGUUCUCUCUCCAAGGAACUCCUCCGGCCAGCCUCAUUCUACUUAUACCCACCAGUAACCUGUCUGUCUGUCUCCCUGUCUAUCUGUCUGUCUGUCUGUCUCUCUCUCUCUUUCACUCUCACACAUACACACAUGUACACACCAGGUUUUUAUUAAAUAUUGUUGCAUAUUCCCGCAGAACCUCCAGAGAACCUGGCUCAGAGGCCAUGGGUUCAGAGGCACCACUGAAGUUCCACUGCAGCCCUGGGCUGGUGGAGCUCCCACCGUGGCUACUUUGGGCCAGACACCCCGGCCCCACAGCUGGCGCUGGGCGCAGGGAUGCUACCGCAGGGACCUCUGCCUUUGUUGUCUCUGGAAGCCGAGCACUCCUGCUGCUGCUCUCUCCCGGGCGGAUUCCUUGUGGCAACUAGCUUCCCUUUCAAAGUCCCGCCCGCCCAGGCAUGACUGAGUGGCGGAGCCUGUGCCACGACGAAAUACAGUUUUAAGCUUCUGCCACAAACUGGAGAAAUCUCCAGACAGAGAUAGGCAAAGGAUCACAGUGGUCAAAAAGAAUUUUUAAAUGCCCACUAUACUUCUGAGGAUGGCUUUUUGGGAAUAGGUCCAGUGCAUUGAGGGUUCUGAUCCAGUGUUAAGUCUGCUUUUCCCCUCUUUGCAGAUCAACUUCGCAUUUCCACCCAUAUUGUCUAUGUUCCUGAGUCCUCACACACACCAUUUAUCAACCAUUCCCCCCGCACUGGCCUCUCCGGAAGAGUUUCGCUUGGUCGCAAAAGUACAACUCAAAUCACUGCCAAUGCAAGACGUGCUUUUCUCUUUCCUAGGGAGAAGGGAUCCUUUAGUUUUUAAAAACACACGGCAGGAAGCAAAAAAAAAAUAAAAAAAAAUUGAGGGAGAAUAUGAGUCAACUCAUAUUACAA
Non-coding RNA from Microcebus murinus (gray mouse lemur), 1728 nucleotides. NCBI's taxonomy places the organism in Eukaryota, Metazoa, Chordata, Mammalia, Primates, Cheirogaleidae. The record is from RefSeq and is a predicted model, not a curated record.